Molecule: ribosomal RNA, 333 nt
Filed under: Triticum aestivum (bread wheat)
Lineage: Eukaryota; Viridiplantae; Streptophyta; Magnoliopsida; Poales; Poaceae
Description: partial small subunit ribosomal RNA
Source: RNAcentral
AUGGCAAUACCGGUUGGUUUGCAGGAGCGCUGGAACCGUGACUGUGUAUUUGAUGUUAAAGACGUCAGCUUGGAGCCAUGCCUUUCUGAUCGCAUGGCUAUGCUGAGCAGCAAGACCAUGAAGGAACUUCAAGUGGGAGACCCCAUCCUAAGCAUGGAUGAUGACGUCGUUUACUUGCUUUCUGAAACCACACCCAAGCACAUGGACAAGUUAGCACUGAUGUUUGCUAUUGAUGUGAGGAAGUCAACACUGCGAGGAUUGGCUGAGCUUGAUGUCAAGAAGUUCAAUUACUUGUCCAGCUUCUGCACUAGUGACAUCUGCAGGGGUACCUGA